AUCUUCCGCAAUGGACGCCAGUCUGCCGGAGCACCUCCGCGUGAGCGAUGAAGGUUUUCGGAUCGUAGAACUCUGCUGUCAGUGACGAAUAAGUAUCGGAGUCACUGCCGGUACCUUGACGUUACCUGCCGCGACAUCCCCGGCUAACUACUUCCCACCCGCCGCGGUCAUACUUAGGUGGCAAGCGUUGUCCGGAUUUAUUGGGCGUAAAGCGCGCGCAGGCGGUCUGUUAAGUCUGAUGUGAAAUCUUACAGGUUAACUGUAAGCGGUCAUUGGAAACUGGGAGACUUGAGUGCAGAAGAGGAGGGUGGAAUUCCAUGUGUAGCGGUGAAAUGCGUAGAGAUAUGGAGGAACACCAGUGGCGAAGGCGACUCUCUGGUCUGUAACUGACGCUGAGGCGCGAAAGCGUGGGGAUCAAACA
Molecule: ribosomal RNA, 421 nt
Filed under: uncultured bacterium
Lineage: Bacteria
Description: partial 16S ribosomal RNA
Rfam family: Bacterial small subunit ribosomal RNA
Source: RNAcentral